Molecule: small RNA, 1840 nt
Filed under: Pan troglodytes (chimpanzee)
Lineage: Eukaryota; Metazoa; Chordata; Mammalia; Primates; Hominidae
Description: retained intron
Source: RNAcentral
AGAGCAGACUUUUUCUUUGCUCAAAGUCUAAGCAUUGAAGAACUUCUUUUUAGUAGGUAGAUUUUUGUGUUUUUUUGUUUGUUUUUGAGACGGAGUCUCACUCUGCCGCCCAGGCUGUGGUGCAGUGGCACGAUCUCGGCCCACUGCAAGCUCUGCCUCCCGGGUUCACACCAUUCUCCUGCCUCAGCCUCCCGAGUAGCUGGGACUACAGGUGCCAGCCACCACGCCUGGCUAAUUUUUUUGCAUUUUUUAGUAGAGAUGGGGUUUCAUCGUGUUAACCAGGAUGGUCUUGAUCUCCUGACCUCAUGAUCCACCCACCUUGGCCUCCCAGAGUGCUGGGAUUACAGGCAUGAUUUAGUAGGUGGUUUUGAGUAGGGAGUAUACAUUUAAAAUGCUGAAACUCAGUUAAGGAAUAAUCUAAUACUGUAUUCAACUGAAACUCAGUUGAGAAAUUUCUUUCCAAUAAAAAGGAAAAUCAACUGCAGUAAUGAGGGAGAUGAUUUUGCUGAUAAUUACAACAAAUAUUUACUACAGACCUGUUAUGCACCAUGAACUGUGCUAAAUGUUUUAUACAUAUAACUUUAUCUUGUGCUCCAACAACCUAUUACAUGGAAAUUGCUAUUAUUCUCAUUUUCUAGAUUAAUAAAUUGGUUUAGAGGGGUCGUAUAGGUGAAACAACUCACUCAAUAUCACAAGCUGUUAUGUGGUGAAGUUUGCAUGAUCAGUACAGGGUUCUGGUCGUCCCACUCAUUGAGUGGUGCUAGUCAAGAUCUGGAAGCUCUUCUGGUCUUAGUUUCUCUAGCUGUGAAGUGACAAUGAUUAGGUCUAAUCAUAGAACAUGAGAGUACAUGUGAAAAAAUGCCUUUUUAAAGAGUAUGAAAAACUUGAGUUGUAAAAUUUUCUUGUGAAUAAUUUAUUAUUGCUUUUCUUUUUUAGAUAACACUAACAAAGUUGACCUUAGAAUUGGAGUGCCUGGGUUAGAACCCUGCUGGUACCACCUGCUUACUGCAUGCUUCUGAUGUGAGUUCAGGAGAAGACACUGGCAAGGACAGCAAAGAACAGGAGAACACUCUAGCUUCCCUGAUAGCAUUCAAGGUGCUGUCCAAACUGACUGUGAUGGCACCCUCCAGACAGACAGCGAUGCCACAUGUUCAAGAUGGCAGAAUCACUAUCAGCUUCAAUUCCUGAAUGACUGCAGAGCAAAAUUUCUUACCCGCAACAUACACUCUAUUUUCAGCCUCCCUGGACUGUUACAUAAUGAUACAUAAAAAUAUUUCUUGUGUUGAGGCAUCCCAAAUUUGAUCUAUUUGUCAUCACAGUCUAUCCUCUGAAUAUAUUUCUGAUCCAAAUAAUGCUAGAUUCAUGCGAGUUUAUAGUCCAGAGAUUUUUUUUUUUUUUUUUUUUUGAGACAGAAUCUCACUGUCUCCCAGGCCGGGGUGCAGUGGCAUAAUCUUAGCUCACUGCAACCUCCACCUCCUGGGCUCAAGUGAUCCUCCCUCCUUAGCCUCCAUGAGUAGCUGGGACCACAGGUGUGCACCACCACACCCCGCUAAUUAUUUUGUAUUUUUUGCAGAGGGGGGUUUCACCACAUUGCCCAAGCUGGUCUCAAACUCCUAGACUUAAGGGAUCUGCCCGCCUUGGCCUCCCAAAAUGCUGAAAUUACACUUGUUAGCCAUAGUAAUAGUUCCUAGCCACAGUCCGGAGAUAUUUUAAAAACUUUAGUGUGAGUUAUUUCUCUUUGCUGUAAUUCUCUCAUGCAUUUUGAAAACCUUUUCUGCCAUACAGUGGUUUUUGGGAAGUCCUUUUGGACAGACAUAUCACAGGAUGGAGAAACUAAAGA